UACGAAGGGGGCUAGCGUUGCUCGGAAUCACUGGGCGUAAAGGGUGCGUAGGCGGGUUUUUAAGUCAGGGGUGAAAUCCUGGAGCUCAACUCCAGAACUGCCUUUGAUACUGAAGAUCUUGAGUUCGGGAGAGGUGAGUGGAACUGCGAGUGUAGAGGUGAAAUUCGUAGAUAUUGGGAAGAACACCGGUGGCGAAGGCGGCUCACUGGCUCGUUUCUGACGCUCAGGCGCGACAGCGUGGGGAUCAAACAGG
This 253-nucleotide ribosomal RNA is filed under the name uncultured bacterium. Its description in RNAcentral is "partial 16S ribosomal RNA". It matches the Rfam family "Bacterial small subunit ribosomal RNA", at positions 524 to 776 of the family's 1533-position model. The record is from RNAcentral.